GUGGGGAAUAUUGGGCAAUGGGCGAAAGCCUGACCCAGCAACGCCGCGUGAAGGAAGAAGGUCUUCGGAUCGUAAACUUCUAUCCUUGGUGAAGAUAAUGACGGUAGCCGAGAAGGAAGCCCCGGCUAACUACGUGCCAGCAGCCGCGGUAAUACGUAGGGGGCAAGCGUUGUCCGGAAUGAUUGGGCGUAAAGGGCGCGUAGGCGGCCUGGUAAGUCUGGAGUGAAAGUCCUGCUUUUAAGGUGGGAAUUGCUUUGGAUACUGUCGGGCUUGAGUGCAGGGGAGGUAAGUGGAAUUCCCGGUGUAGCGGUGAAAUGCGUAGAGAUCGGGAGGAACACCAGUGGCGAAGGCGACUUACUGGACUGUAACUGACGCUGAGGCGCGAAAGUGUGGGGAGCAAACAGGAUUAGAAACCCCUGUAGUCC
RNAcentral lists this ribosomal RNA (425 nucleotides) under uncultured bacterium. Its description in RNAcentral is "partial 16S ribosomal RNA". It matches the Rfam family "Bacterial small subunit ribosomal RNA", at positions 354 to 796 of the family's 1533-position model. The record is from RNAcentral.